Molecule: transfer RNA, 72 nt
Filed under: Gemmatimonadota bacterium
Lineage: Bacteria; Pseudomonadati; Gemmatimonadota
Also listed under: 1 other name
Description: Gemmatimonadetes bacterium tRNA-Glu
Rfam family: tRNA
About the family: Transfer RNA (tRNA) molecules are approximately 80 nucleotides in length. Their secondary structure includes four short double-helical elements and three loops (D, anti-codon, and T loops). Further hydrogen bonds mediate the characteristic L-shaped molecular structure. tRNAs have two regions of fundamental functional importance: the anti-codon, which is responsible for specific mRNA codon recognition, and the 3' end, to which the tRNAs corresponding amino acid is attached (by aminoacyl-tRNA synthetases). tRNAs cope with the degeneracy of the genetic code in two manners: having more than one tRNA (with a specific anti-codon) for a particular amino acid; and 'wobble' base-pairing, i.e. permitting non-standard base-pairing at the 3rd anti-codon position.
Source: RNAcentral
GCCCUCAUCGUCUAACGGUCAGGACACCACUCUUUCAAGGUGGAGAUCGGGGUUCGAUUCCCCGUGAGGGUA